CAGCAAAGAGGGGGACCUUCGGGCCUCUCGCGUCAGGAUUAGCCCAGGUGGGAUUAGCUUGUUGGUGGGGUAAUGGCUCACCAAGGCAACGAUCCCUAGCUGGUCUGAGAGGAUGAUCAGCCACACUGGAACUGAGACACGGUCCAGACUCCUACGGGAGGCAGCAGUGGGGAAUAUUGCACAAUGGGGGAAACCCUGAUGCAGCCAUGCCGCGUGUAUGAAGAAGGCCUUCGGGUUGUAAAGUACUUUCAGUUGUGAGGAAGGCAGUAAAGUUAAUAGCUUUGCUGUUUGACGUUAGCAACAGAAGAAGCACCGGCUAACUCCGUGCCAGCAGCCGCGGUAAUACGGAGGGUGCGAGCGUUAAUCGGAAUUACUGGGCGUAAAGCGCAUGCAGGUGGUCUGUUAAGCAAGAUGUGAAAGCCCGGGGCUCAACCUCGGGAACAGCAUUUUGAACUGGCAGACUAGAGUACUGUAGAGGGGGGGUAGAAUUUUCAGGUGUUAGCCGGUGAAAUGCGUAGAGAUCCUGAAGGAAUACCGGUGGGCGGA
Molecule: ribosomal RNA, 546 nt
Filed under: uncultured Pseudoalteromonas sp.
Lineage: Bacteria; Pseudomonadati; Pseudomonadota; Gammaproteobacteria; Alteromonadales; Pseudoalteromonadaceae
Description: bacterial SSU rRNA
Rfam family: Bacterial small subunit ribosomal RNA
Source: RNAcentral